UGGGGAAUUUUGGACAAUGGGCGCAAGCCUGAUCCAGCCAUGCCGCGUGCGGGAAGAAGGCCUUCGGGUUGUAAACCGCUUUUGUCAGGGAAGAAAUCUUCUGAGUUAAUACCUCGGGAGGAUGACGGUACCUGAAGAAUAAGCACCGGCUAACUACGUGCCAGCAGCCGCGGUAAUACGUAGGGUGCAAGCGUUAAUCGGAAUUACUGGGCGUAAAGCGUGCGCAGGCGGUUUUGUAAGACAGAGGUGAAAUCCCCGGGCUCAACCUGGGAACUGCCUUUGUGACUGCAAGGCUUGAGUGCGGCAGAGGGGGAUGGAAUUCCGCGUGUAGCAGUGAAAUGCGUAGAUAUGCGGAGGAACACCGAUGGCGAAGGCAAUCCCCUGGGCCUGCACUGACGCUCAUGCACGAAAGCGUGGGGAGC
Molecule: ribosomal RNA, 422 nt
Filed under: uncultured bacterium
Lineage: Bacteria
Description: partial 16S ribosomal RNA
Rfam family: Bacterial small subunit ribosomal RNA
Source: RNAcentral